AACGAACGCUGGCGGCAGGCCUAACACAUGCAAGUCGAACGCAUCCUUCGGGGUGAGUGGCAGACGGGUGAGUAACGCGUGGGAACGUGCCCUUCAGUUCGGGAUAACCCAGGGAAACUUGGGCUAAUACCGGAUACGUGCGAGAGCAGAAAGAUUUAUCGCUGAAGGAUCGGCCCGCGUCUGAUUAGCUAGUUGGUGGGGUAAUGGCCCACCAAGGCGACGAUCAGUAGCUGGUCUGAGAGGAUGAUCAGCCACAUUGGGACUGAGACACGGCCCAAACUCCUACGGGAGGCAGCAGUGGGGAAUAUUGGACAAUGGGCGCAAGCCUGAUCCAGCCAUGCCGCGUGAGUGAUGAAGGCCUUAGGGUUGUAAAGCUCUUUCGUCCGGGACGAUAAUGACGGUACCGGAAGAAGAAGCCCCGGCUAACUUCGUGCCAGCAGCCGCCGCAG
RNAcentral lists this ribosomal RNA (449 nucleotides) under uncultured bacterium. Its description in RNAcentral is "partial 16S ribosomal RNA". It matches the Rfam family "Bacterial small subunit ribosomal RNA", at positions 29 to 523 of the family's 1533-position model. The record is from RNAcentral.